Molecule: ribosomal RNA, 279 nt
Filed under: uncultured bacterium
Lineage: Bacteria
Description: partial 16S ribosomal RNA
Rfam family: Bacterial small subunit ribosomal RNA
Source: RNAcentral
UGCCAGCCGCCGCGGUAAUACGGAGGGGGCUAGCGUGGUUCGGAAUUACUGUGCGUAAAGCGCACGUAGGCGGACUAUUAAGUCAGGGGUGAACUCCCGGGGCUCAACCCCGGAACUGCCUCUGAUACUGGUAGUCUUGAGUUCGAGAGAGGAAAGUGGAAUUCCGAGUGUAGGGGUGAAAUCCGUAGAUAUUCGGAGGAACACCAGUGGCGAAGGCGGCUUUCUGGACUGAUACUGACACUGAGGUACGACAGCGUGGGUAGCAAACAGGAUUAGAUA